This 6746-nucleotide long non-coding RNA is filed under the name Sus scrofa (pig). Its description in RNAcentral is "lncRNA (ENSSSCG00015046248.1)". The record is from RNAcentral. Lineage: Eukaryota; Metazoa; Chordata; Mammalia; Artiodactyla; Suidae.
AGUAACAUUGACUAACAGGUCUUUUCCUUCCUUUGUUCUGUGCUUCUAGGUUUGGAAGAUGUAUUGACUAUGAUUGUUUCAGGUGCACAUAACUGCAACUUAACCAACAGCCCAACAGUGAUUUAAACUCAGAGAAUUUUCUUUUCUGUUAUCCUUUAUUUUUAUUUUUUCAUGUAAUAAAAACGUUUGUAGGUAAGCAACCUGGCAUUGGGAGAGUACCUCACAGUGUCAUCGAUAUUCUAGUCUCCUUAUACCUUUCAGGUUUGCUGGCCUUAACUGGGACUUUCACUCUUACUGUCAUAGACUGCUGCACCACCAGGUCUGGCAUCCCUACUCUAUUCAAGAAGUAGGGUAAGAGCAAGGGGGUAAAACACAAAAGGAGGAUACAAGCUAAGUCAGUCCUUUACUAAAAGCUUUACAAAGAGUUCCAUGCAGUGAUUUCCACAUGUAUCUACCUGGCCAAAAAUGGAUCACACAGAGCGUGAGAAGCUGGGCAUUGCUGCUCCAAGCAAAACCAAAAUCUCUUAGGAAGAAAGGGAGGAGAAAUGGAUGUUAGAAACGGAUGUGGUAGGGUGAUGUAACAAUGUCUGCCACAAACUGGUAUCUGGGAUGAGUGAAAAAAAAAGGUAAAGCACUUGAUAUCUGAGAGGGUGAAGGGACUUGCUCGAGACUGCUUUUGUGCUGGGAAACAAAGGAACUAGUCAUCUCAUUUGCUUCCAUUUCCUUGUCUCUGGAAAUUCCUGCUUUGGCCUUCCUCUUAAACCUUACUUUUGCAGCUUUAUGAAUAUCAUUUCUUAGUCCAAAUAUGAUAAAAGUGUUCUUGAUAACAGAACCCAAAUUUUGAUGGAGAGCAAUGUGCCCAGCUUUAGUUAAUGUAUAAUGAUUGGCCUAAUCCAAUCAUGAUAAUGCUAUUUCCUUUUGCUACUGAUUGAUGUUCAUAGUUGAUUUGUGACCUAGUUCUAACCAACAAGGGGAAAUAGACUAGAGUUUCCAUGAAAGAUCUUCACUUUGGAUAAAGAACGAGAAUUGCAUGAGGAGAAAGGAUUCUUUCAUCUGCCUUUUCUUUCUUUUUUAAACACUACCAUGUAAAAAUGCUGUGCUUGGAGCUAUGGUACUAUCUUUUGACCAUAAGGCAACAAGCCAAAAGAUGAGAGGUUCUGAGGACAAAAAGCUGGGUCUUCCAUGACAUCACUCAGCUACCAAAUCAAGCCUGGGACACUUAACUCCUGUGUUCUUAUAAUUACAAAUAUAACAUUAUAGAUUACAUUAAUAUUACUUGAGCUUUUUAUUACUUGUAACUGAAACUAUUCAUAAGGCAUAUACCACUCUAUCAUUAACCUCCAUUUUUUAUGGAGCAAAAGUUAAGUACAUUCAUUGCUUUAUCCCUGUGGCACAUCUUUAAAGUUCUGGUUCUCAGUAGCAUAUCUUCCAUAGUCUAGAAGGAUAUAGGUAGCCCUAAGGAACUCUUUUUAUAAGACUGACAAGAUGAAUGAGAUAGAAGGUGAAACAAAAUAAAGAAAUAGGAGUUCCUGUCAUGGCUCAGUGGUUAACAAAUCCGACGAGGAACCAUGAGGUUGCGGGUUCGAUCCCUGGACUUGCUCAGUGGGUUAAGGAUCCAGUGUUGCUAUGAGCUGUGGUGUAAGUUGCAGACGCGGCUCGGAUCCCGCGUUGCUGUGGCUCUGGUGUAGGCCAGAGGCUACAGCUCCGAUUGGACCCCGAGCCUGGGAACCUCAAUAUGCCGCCUUUAUAAUAAUAAUAAGCUUAAAGAGGCUUAUAAUUUGGGAGGAAAAUGCAUCAUCUCUGCUUACAAGAGUGAAAUUAAGUUGGAAUGAUAAUGGUACUUCACAGUAUUCGAAGAAGAGGAAAAGGACCCUGAUCUCAACACCUAACUUAGCAGAAGGUAUGGAGGUGAGCAGGGACACAGGCAAAAUGUCUCCCUCUACAUCUCUUGAGCUGUUGUGGUGGGGCUAAUAAUGAAGUUGACACAAAACACAUUAAUAGAAGGAAAAAACCACAAAUUGUAAUUCAUGUGCAUGGAGGUCAUUUAGAAAUGGGACUGAAGAAGUGGACAAAGCAGGCAGCUUUCAUACCUUUUGGACAAAGAAAACAUAAACUUGUGAGGAAUUAACAGGAGAAAGAAACAGAUUUUAGGUCCCCAACGACUGAAGAAUCUAAACAGAUUUUGGGCUUGUGGUAAUAAAUUCAAGUAACGAAGUUUGUUUACAUAGGCUUCUCAGCUCCAAAUUCCCUCUUUGCUCUAUUAUUAUUAUUAUUAUUAUUAUUACUAUUAUGGCUGAAUCUGUGGCAUAUGGAAAUUCCCAGGCUAGGGACUGAAUCCCAGUUGCAGUUGUGAGAUAUACCACAGCUGCAGCAGUGCCAGAUUGUGCUGGACAGGGAUCGAACCUGCACCUCUGCAGCGAUCUGAGUUGCUGAAGUUGGAUUCUUAACCCACUAUGCCACAGUAGGAAUUCCUCCCUAUCUUUGUUGAUAAGGGUGUCCUUCUACUUCCAGAUGCGAGGAGCACAUCUUUCACAUGAGAGAUAUAUUUCCUGCUUUCAGGGAAACAGAAGGGGGCCGGGGGUCAGAGUGUCUCUCUAGUGUCAGCCAUUUCUUAAGUAACCUUAAUUCAAAAUAAUCAAUAUGCCACUGAGGCACAUUUUGCGGUCACCUACUCUGGGCCCCAACAACUGCAGUGGAAAAGGUUCAGAGGUCAUCAACUGAAACAGUAAUGUAGGAGUUCCUAUAGUGGCUCAGUGGUUAACGAACUCGACUAGUAUUCAUGAGGACAUGGGUUCGAUCCCUGCCCUUGCUCAGUAGGUUAAGGAUCUGGCAUUGCCAUGAGCUGUGGUGUAGAUCGCAGACAUAGCUUGGAUCCUGCCUUGCUGUGCUGGAUUUGACCCUUAGCCUGGGAACCUCCAUGUGCUGCAGGUAUGGCCCUAAAAAAAAAGAAAAGCAAAAAAGAAAGAGUAAUAUAUUCAAGGCAGAUAAGUUUGCUUCUGAGUUGACAGAGAUGGGAUGAGUGGUGAUAUAGUUGCUGUCUUCAAAAUGACAAAAGGCACAGAUAUGAGGAAGCAAGAGCUGAUUCACCAAUUCCAAGAAUAGCAGAAUCACAACAACCCUAAUGCACAACUUGAAAUUCAUCUCUCAGCUUCCAGUUUUCCUCACUUUAACCUCUCUUCCAUACAGCAGCCAAAUAUCCAAAUAUUCCAUGUCCCUCCUCUGCCUAAAAAAUUUUAAGGGCUCAUCACUGCUUAUGUGAUAAACACCCCAAACCUUUAUAUGAUCUGCAAGGCCUUCCAUGCCCCGCCUGCCUCCCUAUCUUUACCUCCCCCUGAACUGUCCUCUGUAUGUUUCCCCUACCAUCUUCUUCCCAUUCAUAGGUUCUACCACAAUCUCCCAGGCCUCAGGAUGUUGACAACACAACAUCCUGAACAUCCUCUUCAUUCAUCUGAGGUCUCCUCAUACUCGACUUUGGAGGUUAUAGUCAUUUUAACAAGGAAGUUAUCCCUAAUUAAGCUCUACUCUAAAACCAAUGUAGUAUACGUCCCAUAGCAGUCUCUUCUUCUCCCUUAAUAAUACUCAUCACAUUUGUGAUAAUUGGUCAAUGAUUUCUUCUCCUCUAAAAUAUAAGAUCCACGAGGACAAGACCAUCUCUGUCUAUCUUACCAAGUUUCUGGCAUAUAGUAAGCCUUGAUCUCUACCACACAGUGAAUGGCCAUCGUGUAACUCACCAUUGUGCUGAUGCCAAUGGGAGGGAGGGCUUUUAACAACUAAAGGGCACAUAUGAAAUACAGACUCAUGAUACACUAAUAAGAACAGAAAAAAAAUUAUUUGGGACAGUUUUAAUGACUGAGAUAUACCUUUUACUCUUUUAUUAGACAUCAAGGAAAAAUCACUGUCCUUCCUAACAAGCUCUAUGGUUUUGUACAACUGAGCUUAGAGCACAAGCUUAGGAGUCCGAAAACCCAGAUUUGGAUCCAAGCUUUUGUACUUUUCUAUUAGCUAUUUGAUUUGACAUACAUCUCUAAUUUCUCUGAGCCUCAGUUUCCUCAAGUAUAAAAUGGGGAUAAUGAUAAAACCUUUCCAACAGAGGCUUGUGAGGAUUAAAUGAGAUAAUACAUGGAAAAACCUCACCCUAGUGAUUACCACAAAGUGAGCAUACAGUAAAUGUUACUGGGAGUUCUUCAAAGUUCUGACCAUUGUCAUUAAAGACAAAACAUAAAUUCAACUGGAUUGAAAUUACACGUGCUUAAUAAAUGUACUGUUACAGAUAUUAUGACUGUCAUUUGUAGCAAAAAGUACUAGCACUCAUCUGAGCACAUGGUUUCCCUAGGGUUAGGUGGAUCCAUGUCUACCCCAGUUACUGUUUUGACCCAAUGCCCAACAAAAUAUUUAAUACAUGUACACACAUGCAAUAAACCCUUUCUGAAUGCGUAACUGAAUCAAAGUUCUAAACCAGUAUGAUAAUACAGAUACUUUUUCAAGCAAAUAGGAAGAGAAAGGCAGGGUUCAGCAGGAGAUAGAAAAGAAGAACUGGAUUUUUUCCCCUAAUAAUAAAAGCUUCUAAGCAAUAAGAUUAGAAGUUCAAUUGUAAUGGUGCAAAAUAGAAAACUUGCCGAAAAUUUUGUACUAUUAUAUGGUCAAAGCAGAAGCCCAUAAUGAAGGCAGCAGCAUUUGAGAACCAUUACAUCUAUGACCAUCUUUCAGACCCUGAAAUGCCGAUUAGAACAUUCCAGGAAACUGCGGCAGUUUUAUUCUAAAGGAAGAUUCUGAACUCUGAUCACAUCUCUUACCCACUCCUACUGCUUUGUCUACCAGUAUGGCCUUUAUGAAGUAAGGGCUUCUGUUCUCUCUUCCAUGUUGCUCUAUGACAAUAAAACUUUUCAGACCCUGGAAAGUCGAUUAGAACAUUCCAAGAAACUGUGGCAGUUUUAUUCUGAAUUCUGUUCACAUGUCUUACCACUCACAUGGUUUUGUCUACAAAUGUGGCCUUUCUGAAGUUAGGGCUUCUGUUCUCUCUUCCUUCUUGCUUUAUGACAAUAAAACCCAAAGUGUCUUCCACCCAAAGAGGAAGCUUUGGAGAGUGUCUUAUUAUAACUAUUACAUGUGACAUAAGGCCCACCACUAAUGUGAGACAGACAAGAAUAAAUUACCUAAAUAAGACAGAAAGAGCCAUUCACUUCAAGGAAGGCCCACUUUCUUGAAACUCUGAAGCACUGAAACCAUUUAGAGUUUGCUGUCAAGAUUCCUAGCAGUGCUCAUUACCUUGGCCAGCAGUCCCUCUGGACUACUGAAGACUUAUACAAAAUAUAUAUAAUCAUGGCUGCAAUGUCUAAGUGCAACAGGAUGAUUUAAAAGCACUACAAUAGGCUUCACCCAUGAUAUUCAUCUCUUCCUGUCUAUUUUUUUCUGAUCCAGACAAAAACUUGGAAUGCAAUCUGUAUAUUGAUAUUCCCUGAAAAGGAUUUCAGCAGCUCUUUAGGAAAGAAUGUUUAAGCAGUUUUAGUUUUAAGUUUAAGCUUCAAAAUUGUACAUCAAUGCAUUUAUGGGUAUAGUUUCUAUUUCGGAGAAAUUAAGCCCCAGUAAGAAAAGUAUUCAGGUGUGUCCAUAGAGGUAACAAACCUGACUAGUAUCCAUGAGGAUGCGGGUUCGAGCCCUGGCCUCACUCAGUAGGUUAAGAAUCCAGCAUUGCUAUGAGCUGUGGUGUAGUUGGCAAAUGCAGCUCAGAUUCUACAUUGCUUUGGCUGUGGGGUAGGCCAGUAACUAUAGCUACAAUUCAACCCCUAGCCUGAGAACUUCCAUAUGCUGCACGCAUGGCCCUAAACAGACAAAGAAAAAAGAAAAAAAGAAAGAAAGAAAGAAAAAGGGAAAUAUUCAAUUCCUGCUCUAACUGGAGAAUCAAGUACUGGUUAAGCACAUGUACUUUGGAAUGAGAUUGACCUGGGUUCACCUUAGGCUCCGCAUAAAUCUCUGUACAAAUUGUACAAGGGACUCAGCCUUUGUAAGCCUGAGUUACACCAUCUAAUAAACUAUAUUACACAGGCUUGGCAUAGAAGAACUUAAUACAUGUUAGAUGUUAUUGGAACUAAUGUUCUUAUUGCUAUUAUUAUUGUCAUUUUCUGACAGAAGCUACUAGAGCCCACCCAGGCAUACAGCUAGACACAUUUGCCAGCUCUGAUACAGCUAUGUGGGUUGAAGUGACUGAGUUCCGAUCAAUGGAAUAUGGCAGAAAUGAGGUAUGCCUCUUCCUCAAAGGGUCCAUGUAAUCUUUCAGGUUCUAUCCCUUCCUUUCUUUUUCCCUCCUCAACAGCUCUGAAAGCUACUUGCUUAAGAAUUCAGAGCUACAAGAUGGAAGGAACAUCCUACCCAAACCUUGGAGGAGAGCCACCCUUCCAAAACAUUUGUAAUGGAUUCUGAAUGAGUAAAAAACUUUUUUUAUGUUAAAUUACUGACAUUUGCUAUUGCUCACUACAGCAAUUAGCCUUCCUCAUAGUUUCCCACCUACUUAUAUUUUGGAUGACAUAAUUAUUUGUUAUGUAGGGUUGUCACGUGCACUGUAGGAUAUUUAGCAGCAUUCCUGGCUCCUACCAAUGUGAUGUCAGUAAUACCUUCUCCCUUAAUUGUGACAACCAAAAAAUGUCUUUAGACAUUGAUAAAUGUCACUUGGGGGUAAGAGGAGAUGGGAGAGAGGGGAUAAAUCAUCCUUGGUUUAAAAGCACUGGCCCAUCCUGACCAAAAUAUCAUCA